RNAcentral lists this ribosomal RNA (441 nucleotides) under uncultured bacterium. RNAcentral describes it as "partial 16S ribosomal RNA". It matches the Rfam family "Bacterial small subunit ribosomal RNA", at positions 338 to 795 of the family's 1533-position model. The record is from RNAcentral.
CCUACGGGUGGCAGCAGUGGGGAAUAUUGCACAAUGGGGGAAACCCUGAUGCAGCAACGCCGCGUGAAGGAAGACGGUUUUCGGAUUGUAAACUUCUGUUCUUAGUGAAGAAUAAUGACGGUAGCUAAGGAGCAAGCCACGGCUAACUACGUGCCAGCAGCCGCGGUAAUACGUAGGGGGCAAGCGUUAUCCGGAUUUACUGGGUGUAAAGGGCGUGCAGCCGGGAAGACAAGUCAGAUGUGAAAUCCCGCGGCUCAACCGCGGAACUGCAUUUGAAACUGUUUUUCUUGAGUAUCGGAGAGGUAAUCGGAAUUCCUAGUGUAGCGGUGAAAUGCGUAGAUAUUAGGAAGAACACCAGUGGCGAAGGCGGAUUACUGGACGACAACUGACGGUGAGGCGCGAAAGCGUGGGGAGCAAACAGGAUUAGAUACCCCUGUAGUC